RNAcentral lists this ribosomal RNA (373 nucleotides) under uncultured organism. RNAcentral's name for it is "partial 16S ribosomal RNA". It matches the Rfam family "Bacterial small subunit ribosomal RNA", at positions 527 to 896 of the family's 1533-position model. The record is from RNAcentral.
GUAGGUGGCAAGCGUUGUCCGGAAUUAUUGGGCGUAAAGCGCGCGCAGGCGGUCCUUUAAGUCUGAUGUGAAAGCCCACGGGCUCAACCGUGGAGGGUCAUUGGAAACUGGGGGACUUGAGUACAGAAGAGGAAAGCGGAAUUCCAAGUGUAGCGGUGAAAUGCGUAGAGAUUUGGAGGAGCACCAGUGGCGAAGGCGGCUUUCUGGUCUGUAACUGACGCUGAGGCGCGAAAGCGUGGGGAGCAAACAGGAUUAGAUACCCUGGUAGUCCACGCCGUAAACGAUGAGUGCUAAGUGUUAGGGGGUUUCCGCCCCUUAGUGCUGCAGCUAACGCAUUAAGCACUCCGCCUGGGGAGUACGGCCGCAAAGGCUG